AGAGAAUUUAGCAGAGAUGCUUUAGUGCCUUCGGGAACUCUGAGACAGGUGCUGCAUGGCUGUCGUCAGCUCGUGUUGUGAAAUGUUGGGUUAAGUCCCGCAACGAGCGCAACCCUUAUCCUUUGUUGCCAGCACGUAAUGGUGGGAACUCAAAGGAGACUGCCGGUGAUAAACCGGAGGAAGGUGGGGAUGACGUCAAGUCAUCAUGGCCCUUACGAGUAGGGCUACACACGUGCUACAAUGGCGCAUACAAAGAGAAGCGACCUCGCGAGAGCAAGCGGACCUCAUAAAGUGCGUCGUAGUCCGGAUUGGAGUCUGCAACUCGACUCCAUGAAGUCGGAAUCGCUAGUAAUCGUAAAUCAGAAUGUUACGGUGAAUACGUUCCCGGGCCUUGUACACACCGCCCGUCACACCAUGGGAGUGGGUUGCAAAAGAAGUAGAUAGCUUAACCUUCGGGAGGGCGUUUACCACUUUGUGAUUCAUGACUGGGGUGAAGUCGUAACAAGGUAAGCGUAGCGAG
Molecule: ribosomal RNA, 520 nt
Filed under: uncultured bacterium
Lineage: Bacteria
Description: bacterial SSU rRNA
Rfam family: Bacterial small subunit ribosomal RNA
Source: RNAcentral